Molecule: ribosomal RNA, 252 nt
Filed under: uncultured prokaryote
Description: partial 16S ribosomal RNA
Rfam family: Bacterial small subunit ribosomal RNA
Source: RNAcentral
UACGGGUAGGGCGAGCGUUGAUCAUCAUUAUUAGGCGUAAAGGGUAUGUAGGCGGUUUUAUAAGUUACUAGUAAAACAAUAAAGCAUAACUUUAUAUUAUUAGUAAUACUGUUAAACUAGAGUAUUGUUUAGGAUAAUGGAAUUUCUGGAGUAAGGGUUAAAUCUAUUGAUACCAAAAGGAACACCGAUUUACGAAGGUAGUUAUCUGAAUUUUACUGACGCUGAGGUACGAAGGUAUGGGGAGCAAACAGG